GGGCAACUAGCGUAGUGGUUAUCGCGUUCGCUUCGCAUCUGAGAGCUAUUUGGAAUUCCAAGGCGCUUGCGAAAGGUCUCCGGUUCAAAUCCGGAGUUGUCCA
Molecule: non-coding RNA, 103 nt
Organism: Marasmius tenuissimus
Lineage: Eukaryota; Fungi; Basidiomycota; Agaricomycetes; Agaricales; Marasmiaceae
Source: the annotation of a GenBank genome assembly